UUUGAAGCUGCGGGAGCUGAAGUGUAAGCAGCUUGAGCCAUUCGCCUGAAGUCUACACUUCUCCUACUACUCAGCCAGUGGCAGAGCGGCGAUUGGGACUGGGCCUGUUUACUCCAAGGUACACGCUGUUAAGUCUUAACUAUGACUCUCAGAAAAGAUCUCCCAGACUUGAAAUCCCAAGGCCCCUGUUUCUACCUUGGGCCCCAGCCUCACAAACACCUGGCAGUCACUUAGUCAGACUGGGGACACUGGGCAGUGGCAGAAUGUGAGCUUGGGAGCCAGACAGGCCUUGGUUCAUCCUCAGGAAACCUCCUGGGCUAGGUGAGAUGAUAAGAGAUGGUGUAUGUGAACGACCAUCCUCAGUCCUCCGACCACUCUCCCUUUGGGCUCCUUCGGAAACAGAGUGUGCCCGCUCUGUCUCAUGUCUGUCUGGCUCUGGCCCCUGACCCCCUCCUGGAGCUGCCAUUGUGCCCUUCUGGGUCCGUGUCUACUGCCUGGUUUGAUGAGCUGGUAAUACAAUAGCAGGAGUAACAAGCCUGAAAGACCAUGACCGUAUCUGCCGCUUCCGAGCGUCCCGGGGAAGCUACCAUGCCACCCUGCCUGCCAGGAUUUAUGACGAGGCAAUAGCGGUCAGGUGCAGGAGGGGCCUGCAGCACUCAGUUUUGCUCUGUCCGUUCUGGUGAAGCGACCGUCUCUGUUGAGGACCGUACUCAGGCCUGCCCUCCCCCAGCGUGUACUGUCCUUUCUGUCUUCAAAGUCAGGGCUUUGGCCGUACACAGUUUCCUUUCUAACACUUGGCAUGUGGGCAAAACCAAUAGGAUUUUUUCUUGGAGGUAAGUUAGAAGGAAAGGGUAGAAGAAAAGAGAUAUAAAAUUUGGAGAGAUUGGUGGAAUGAAUUGAAACCCAAAGUUUGAGCGCCCCAAAGCCUUGCGGGGGACUUUAGUUUCCGUGAUAGAUUUUGUCAAGACAAAUAGAACUCUGCAAAGAGGAAAGUAUGGUUAUUAACAUCCAGUGGACACAGAGGAGGGAAGAACCCGUUUCCUUAUAUGGAGUGUUAUGAAGAAUUCUCGAAUUCUGUGCCGUUUUCACUGUGGUGCCAGCGUCCAUAGGUCACAGAUCACACACGGUGAGGACAGGUGACCUCCUGGAGUUAGUCUGUAGGACUGGGUCUGCAGCCUGUAUGCUUAUGCCACAUUGUGAGAAAGGUGGGCAUCCCAAGAUAGCGGGGGACGGGGAGCAAGAGAAACCAGAUUGGAGAGAGGCAGGUAUGACAACUGGCAAGGGAACCUGAAUCUGACUCAGCACAAACUGUGGUUCAUGAGCCUUUCUUGAUCAAGAUACAGCUAUGCGUGUUUCUGAGAGCGUGUGGAAUUCUAGGGCUUGGCAAUCAGGUGUGAAACGAAAAUCGGACAUUUUGUGUCUGUUGUUCCAUUCUUCUCUCUUCCCCAGGAUCGUGCUCUGCUGCUGCAAAGGAAGAUCCAUAUUAAACAUAUCUUAAACUAGCCUUUUGUAAGUAUGGCAGGGUAGCUUUGAAUCCUGCUGCAAAUUUUUUAAAAAAUUUUUUUAAUGUUUAUUUUUGAGAGAGAGAGAGAGAGAGAUAGAACACGAGUGGGGGAGGGGCAGAGAGGGGGAGGGGGACAGAAUCUGAAGCAGGCUCCAGGCUCUGAGCUGUCAGCACAGAGCCCAAUGUGGGGCUCGACCUCAUGAACCGUGAGAUCAUGACCUGAGCCGAAGUUGGACGCUCAACCGACUGAGCCACCCAGGCGCCCCUCCUGCUUCAAACUUAAUAACCCUUGGCUGAGCUUCGAGAUUACUGAAGAGUGAUGUUCCCACUUUCAAAGGCUAGUUCUGAAAAGACAAUGGAAGCCCUUUGUGGGCUGUAAUGACAAGGAGAACUUCGAUGAUGAUGUCAUAGAUUUCAUCAUGAUAUAAAUGCCAGAUUCUCCUGAAAUGCUGCCUCUUAUCUAGGAACCUCAGAUCCUUUGUAGGUAUUAUCUGGGGGUGAGUAGAGAAACAAAGACCCACCAUGCUAACGGGACUUAACUGAGGUAAUCCAAUGAGUCACUUAUAAUAGGAACAAAGACCUUCCAGGGGAAGGGAGGGAGUUGGUUUAAUGCCAGGAAUGGCUUCUCUUAUUCCGUUUUGCCUGAAAAUAUGGGAUGCUGGACUCUAAAACCUAUCAGAAAAUUCAUUCCCCCAUGAAUUCUGGUUUAAUUUCCUGUCGAUACCUGGCUGAAACACUUGGAAAAAUUGUUUUAUUUGACAUUAUGAGCGUAAAUAUUCAAGUCUUGGUUUCAUUUCUGUUUCUGUGGAAGCUGCUGUUGAGGACCAGAUAUGAACCGUGAUGGACCUGAAAUGAGUGCUGCUUACAGCCAAAUGGUAUGCUGCGUUGGGUUAGCAGUGAGCUGGGUGUUAACGGAAAUAAAUUAGUUUUUAUUUGGAGUAGUACAACCAUUGUGAAGAUCGGCCUUUGAUGCUCCCCUCUUCUCGUCACUUGUGCCUGAAUUCCCUCAGUCAGGUUUGCAGUGCCCAUAAUUUUGUCUCCUUGCCAGUCUUGCCUCCUCUCCCUCUUUACCCCUCCCCUACUCUUCACCCCCCAUCACCAUAAAAAAGUUUUUCGGGGGUGCCUGGGUGGCUCAGUGGGUU
This 2646-nucleotide long non-coding RNA is filed under the name Lynx pardinus (Iberian lynx). Lineage: Eukaryota; Metazoa; Chordata; Mammalia; Carnivora; Felidae. The record is from RNAcentral.